GUUUGUUAUUUGGGAUUUGACAGAGAUGUAAGUAACUGAGUACUCUCAGAACUGUACUUUAUGACUUUUCAGUUUUGGUUUGGUUUUACAUGGGCUUUGUAUCAAUGGGAUGAGUUAACAUUUCAGCUUAUUCUUAGUGUUUAAUUCUUACGUUCAACUGUUACACAGUUGUCCCAUGUUCAGAAGAGAGAAGGUUUAGCACCAAAAGUUAU
RNAcentral lists this long non-coding RNA (212 nucleotides) under Mytilus galloprovincialis (Mediterranean mussel). Lineage: Eukaryota; Metazoa; Mollusca; Bivalvia; Mytilida; Mytilidae. The record is from RNAcentral.